Drosophila miranda is the source of this 1053-nucleotide RNA transcript. RefSeq lists it as uncharacterized. The record is from RefSeq and is a predicted model, not a curated record. NCBI's taxonomy places the organism in Eukaryota, Metazoa, Arthropoda, Insecta, Diptera, Drosophilidae. The transcript is spliced from 5 exons.
CAAAGAUAGAAAUAGGAAUGAUUUGCGAACUGCUUCGAGCCUCGUAGAGGCGUUUUGACAGGCAGCUGGGGACCAGAGAAAAGAUUACCAGGUUGCUGCUGUCAAAUGUGAGUUUGACCACUAACUAUACAUAGAUACGGAUCUACAUGUGCCAGUUCAUACACCGAAUAUGGCGCAAACGAACUUUCUGGGUUAGAUCGCAGGGUCUUCGGCUCUGGAGUGCUUCAUCAUAAGCCAGCCAACCAUGGGAACCUGCUCUCAAGAGAGUUUACAAAUUUUUUAUUUCUUCUAGGAGCAUAUUUCAGGAUAUAUUUCCAUGGAUAAGCGGCCCGAGGCAUUAACCUUUCGUGUCCUGCGCCGCUCUCGUGAUUUUCCCGCCCUCUUACCCGUUUGUAUGUUGCUGGAUCGAUACUGCAUCUACGAUCGCGUGCAUCGCGUACAUUAUUUAUUUGCCAGCACUUUUUACGAUGUACGACGUACGUGCUUCGCUGGUGCAUACAAUACCGACAACGUCUUGCCUCCUGCACCAUGCAUUACCUCAUCGGCUUUGACCUGCUCUCUCUGGACACAAACUGCUAUGCCGCGAUCAUUCCGCUUACCCCGUCUGCUGGUUGCCCCCUUCGGUGGCAAGGAAUGACUCUUGCGUGCCCGCGGACGCCUAAAUGCGCACCACCGUUUAUCAGGAGCGUCUUCCGGUUCAUAUGAGCGAGUGUGCGAUCGAUGAUGACUGUCGACUCCUGACCGCGGCCUGCUCCUGUGCACGGGACCACUUCAGCUUCGAGAUUGAGGACUUAUGUAGCCUAAGACAGACAGAAUCAUCUCCCAGCAGAACAGAAGCGCCUAAGAAGUCAUCCUGGCCAUAGACAGCAAGGACUUUGACUACGAGAGCCAAGGGAGGAGCUACGCGGGCUACUAGACUCUAGAUAUAUCUCCUUGCUGUUAGAUUUAAGGAUAUACGCAUUCAUUUAUAUAGUAUAUACAAAAAUGUUUCCCGCUUGCUAAUUUGUUUAUACUAAGCUAAGUUUUAAUGAAUAAAACUAUCCUAACUAAUCA